This 235-nucleotide unclassified non-coding RNA is filed under the name Hevea brasiliensis (rubber tree). Lineage: Eukaryota; Viridiplantae; Streptophyta; Magnoliopsida; Malpighiales; Euphorbiaceae. The record is from RNAcentral.
AGAAGAGGAAGAAGAAGAAGAUGGGUUCUUAGAGGGAUUGUUGCCAGUUUUGGAAUUGGAGGAGAGAUUCUUGUCGUAGAUGUGAUUGAAAUUGAUGGAAGUGUAUUUGUUGGUUUUUGCCAUCCACCACCACCAAUAUGGAACUUUGAAGCUGUUGGAAUUUGUGGGCUUGAUCAGAAACAGGGGAAUUAAGAAGUUUUUGAGAGGAUCUGGAAGAAGAAGAAGAAGGAGAAAA